GUGGGGAAUAUUGGACAAUGGGCGAAAGCCUGAUCCAGCCAUGCCGCGUGUGUGAAGAAGGUCUUCGGAUUGUAAAGCACUUUAAGUUGGGAGGAAGGGCAGUAAGUUAAUACCUUGCUGUUUUGACGUUACCGACAGAAUAAGCACCGGCUAACUUCGUGCCAGCAGCCGCGGUAAUACGAAGGGUGCAAGCGUUAAUCGGAAUUACUGGGCGUAAAGCGCGCGUAGGUGGUUUUGUAAGUUGGAGGUGAAAUCCCCGGGCUCAACCUGGGAACUGCCUCCAAAACUGCAUGACUAGAGUACGGUAGAGGGUAGUGGAAUUUCCUGUGUAGCGGUGGAAUGCGUAGAUAUAGGAAGGAACACCAGUGGCGAAGGCGACUACCUGGACUGAUACUGACACUGAGGUGCGAAAGCGUGGGGAGCAAACAGGAUUAGAAACCCGAGUAGUCC
RNAcentral lists this ribosomal RNA (450 nucleotides) under uncultured bacterium. RNAcentral's name for it is "partial 16S ribosomal RNA". It matches the Rfam family "Bacterial small subunit ribosomal RNA", at positions 354 to 796 of the family's 1533-position model. The record is from RNAcentral.